This 1326-nucleotide ribosomal RNA is filed under the name Triticum aestivum (bread wheat). RNAcentral describes it as "partial small subunit ribosomal RNA". The record is from RNAcentral. Lineage: Eukaryota; Viridiplantae; Streptophyta; Magnoliopsida; Poales; Poaceae.
AUGGAGUCGCAGCAGCAGCAGCAGCAGAUGGAGGCGGUUUCUGCGCCGGCCGCCUCCACGAACGGGGGCGGGGAGCUGAUCGGGUACGUGGACGUGCACGUGCGGAGCGCGCGGGACAUCCAGAACAUCUGCAUCUACCACAAGCAGGACGUGUACGCGCGCCUCUCGCUGCCGGGGGAGGGCGCGCCGGCGGCGUCCACGCAGGUCAUCAAUGGCGGCGGCCGCAACCCGGUGUUUGACCAGUCCGUGCGCGUCGGCGUGCGCGCGGGGGACGUCGACGCCGCGCUCCGCUGCGAGGUCUGGAUGCUCAGCCGGGUCAAGAACUACCUGCAGGACCAGCUGCUGGGCUUCGCGCUCGUGCCGCUCCCGGACGUCGUCGCCGCCGAGGGUGGCACGCUCGCGCGCGAGUUCCCGCUCUCCACCAACGACCUCUUCCACUCCCCGGCCGGGUUCUUGGAGCUCGAGCUCUCGUACAUCGGGGUCGUGCCCGAUGUCAUUCCCGUCUCGCCCACGCCCAAGCCUGCGCUGGCCGAUCCGGAUGAGUGCGAGAACGCCGGCGGCGGAGCCGGCGCUGGCGCAGGGAAGGACUACGAGAACAUGGAGUUCCCUGACAUGAAUCUUGUGGAGGAAAACCAGAUUAUGCUCUCGGAAUAUGUUGGGCUGCCGUGCACGGCCAUGGAAACGCAGAGCUCCGAGAGCCUCCUGACCUCGGAGGACGUGGAUGGCGCCGCCACCGAGUCCCACGACGCUGGCGUGCGCGUCGUGCAGAGCUUCUCCACGGACUACAGCACCGCCGACUCGGCCGGCGCCUUCCGGAGCGAGACGGCAGCCAGCAGCGUGUCCACCACGGAGUCCCCGGCCGCGGCCGUCCCGGCCACCCCGCAGUCCAACCCGUCCGAGCCGUCAGGAAACGCCCUCUCAUCAGCAGGCCAGAAGGAGAAGGCCUCGGACGCGGCGGAGGUCGAUUCGUCUCCCACCGUUCAGGAGAGCCCGGCGGUGAACUCGCCCAGCACCGUGUCUGAGAACGCGGUGGACAAGCCGCCGCCGGCGAUGAGCUUCAACUUCGCGGAGGAGGUGCAGGUGAACCAGAAGGAGAUCAUGGACAUGUACAUGAAGAGCAUGCAGCAGUUCACGGAGUCGCUGGCCAAGAUGAAGCUCCCGCUGGACAUGGACAAUGGCAGCGACAAGAGCGGGAGCGGCCCCGCCGCCGCCUCGCCCACGGAUUCCAGCGGCACCGACUCGAGCGCGGCGACGAAGAAACCGACGGCCGGGGCUGCGCAGGAGAAAUCUCCCAAGGUGUUCUACGGAAGCCGAGCCUUCUUCUAG